Morchella snyderi is the source of this 95-nucleotide non-coding RNA. NCBI's taxonomy places the organism in Eukaryota, Fungi, Ascomycota, Pezizomycetes, Pezizales, Morchellaceae. The record is from the annotation of a GenBank genome assembly.
GCGCCGUUGGUGCAGGGGUAGCAUAGUUGCCUUCCAUUCAUCUCUGAAAAGGGUCGAGUAAGCAACUGGGAAGGGUUCGAGUCCCUUACGGCGUA